GUCUCUUCCUCCCUCCGCGAUGUCCCUCGCCGGCACUCCGUCCUCUGUCGCGUUCGUGCGGCGACUCGCUGCCGAAGUGCUCGGUGGGUGGAAAAGGAGGCGUGACGUCAACGCGCACGAUCCCAGCCGAACGCUGUGGGAUGUGGGUGACGUCAUCCCGCGGCGUGCGCGGUGACAUCACUAACGUGAACAUGCGCACCAGUCCGCCAGGCAGGCAGCAAUCCAGCCGGAGAGAGAGAAUUAUUUAGAGGCGAGGGAAUCCACAGUCCAGCCACCUCGACACAAUUAUAAAAAUAAACUCAAUCUUGAUUUGAAGCUUUCGUGACUGCAGGAAUCCAUACUCUUUGGUUCUUUCGGAAACGGAGGCAGCCAGCGGGGCAGGGAGUGGCGUGGAGGCGACGGCCCCGUGACGCUCCGGGCCCAGCGCCGGCCGCUCGGCCACCUGGGCCCAGUCCCGCAGUUGACGCCGCUGCCGCAGGACAAGCGCGCCGAGCUCCUCCAGGGGGCCAACGCUGCACCGCUAGGAGACGGAAUGAGUCCCUACGCCGGAUUAUUCAUCUCGGCAGAGGCGUUAAACGUAAACAAACUGGGCAGGUUUGACAUUUUCACAGCGUCAUUUUUCCACGGAAUGUAUUUCUGGAGAGUCCUCACAGCGCGGCACCUCCACUGGGAGCUGCGUCCCGCGCUCUCUCUGCCUCUGCCCCCGCGCCUCCGACUCCUUCUCCUGCACUUCCGAGAGAGCACGGUUGGCUACGUACGGUGCGAAAGAAGUUCGACAGGCAUGCAUACAACGCCAAAGGCGCACACAGGUCCCCGUGCGCCGUCCAGAUCGCCGUGCCGUGGCCUCGCCAUCGCUGCCUGCCGUGGUCACGGCCGCUCACACCGUCAGCUCCCAGCACCACGAGGUGAGCUGGGAGCUGGCUGGCUGCUCCAGCUCAGCCUCGUCAGCAGCAGCAGCAGCAGGAUUCUAGCUGAGGCCGAAGUCCGAAGUUGAAAAGCUUUUGACGCGGACAAGAAAACCGAGCCUCCUCGAUGCCUCCUGAGCGAGAGAGUCGAUCAUCAAGAGCCGCAUACUUGCAGGAAGCUCCAGCGCACACAAGCCAUAUGAUUUAACACGGUAAAAUUCGUGAUCUGAUCCCAUCUGUGAAGGAUACGAUCCCUGACAUGCAGUACCCCGGCGUCUACAAACUAAGCUGUGUAUGCGGCAGUAGUUACAUUGGGGAAACGAAGCGACAUGUCUUGGAUCGUGUUCGUGAACAUAAGGCAACCCUCGUGGAGGCAGUUAGACCCGGACAGCGAGGUCAUUGGCAUCUUGGUGUCGGGUGGCAUUAAUUGCUUUGUAUCGAGCCCUGGAUUUAACUUCAUCAGAGUGAAAAACGCGGUGUUGAUAGCCCCAGGCUGACUGAGAAACGUGUUCCCGUGUGGUCUAUAGUGGAGAGAAAAUGGAGCAGCCCGGCCUGCAUCGCCUCGUGCUAAGGCGAUAAAUAUUGGCAACUCCGCACUCGAUAUUUCAUGUCUGAAUGAAAUAAAGAUGCCACUUCUGUUU
Molecule: long non-coding RNA, 1546 nt
Organism: Petromyzon marinus (sea lamprey)
Lineage: Eukaryota; Metazoa; Chordata; Hyperoartia; Petromyzontiformes; Petromyzontidae
Source: RefSeq, a predicted model, not a curated record